UUCUGCCAGGUGGGAGGAGGAUGCUUCCAAUGAAUUAAGCUGCUAAGUACAAGGGUGCUUUGAGAACUGAGAACUAGCAUUGAGAAAUUGCAAAAAGGAAAACUGAUGGCUGGUUUCUUACAUAGUGAUGAUCAUAUGAAGUAUCAUGGGCACCGCAGCAUGUUUUUAUUACCAUUUUUGUUAUAUGAAGAGUGUCAGAUAUUGCAUUAUUUACGUAUCUUGAAUAUGAUUUUGUAUGCCAUGCUAAUUCACACCCGUGCACUUACCUAGUAGAUGGGUUUCGUUUCCCCAGAUGGUGUCUGAUGUCCAUGAAACAUAACACGUUUGUUUCAGGAACGGGUGAAGCAGAAGGUAUCAUCAAGGGGCAAAUAUGUGUCUGUAAAUAUCGGGCCAAUCCAAGUUGUUUCGAGCGAACAGGUGCAAGCGGUCUAUAAUGCCAUGAGGAGAGAUGAACGGAUGAAGUACUUCUUAUAAUCCGUUAGGUCUUUUUUUUGUAUAGAAUGCCAGGCUCCCCGGCGAUGUAUUUAUGAUACUGGGACUGGGAACGUUCACUGUGUGCAGGCAGCAUGACAGAUUUGGCCAUUUAUUUAUUCUUUCUUCAUAUAUAAACAGAUUUUCAUAUAUCAUAUAUGUGAAGGAAUGGCUGGAUCUGCUGUGGCUGUUGUCCAUCAGCACGACAGAAAAUCCCGAUUCAUGAUUUGCCUGCUUUCCAGUAGUUAGCUUGAUUAUAUCUGUCUAACCCAUGUUUCUGUGUUGUUCUAGCAACCAGAGAUCACUUGUAUUUGCUAGAUAUGUGUAACUUACUACCCUUUGUGACUGAAAGGAAAUAUAGUAGACAAUUUUGUUGUUACUAGUAACAGACAUGAUUAUCUUCAUGAAAUUCUCCUAUAUUUGAAUUACUCUUCA
Neltuma alba is the source of this 906-nucleotide long non-coding RNA. RefSeq lists it as uncharacterized. The record is from RefSeq and is a predicted model, not a curated record. NCBI's taxonomy places the organism in Eukaryota, Viridiplantae, Streptophyta, Magnoliopsida, Fabales, Fabaceae. The transcript is spliced from 2 exons.